This 661-nucleotide ribosomal RNA is filed under the name Russula chloroides. RNAcentral's name for it is "LSU rRNA". It matches the Rfam family "Eukaryotic large subunit ribosomal RNA", at positions 48 to 676 of the family's 3401-position model. The record is from RNAcentral. Lineage: Eukaryota; Fungi; Basidiomycota; Agaricomycetes; Russulales; Russulaceae.
AAGCGGAGGAAAAGAAACUAACAAGGAUUCCCCUAGUAACUGCGAGUGAAGCGGGAAAAGCUCAAAUUUAAAAUCUGGUGGUCUUUCGGCCAUCCGAGUUGUAAUUUAGAGAAGCGUCUUCCGCGCUGGACCGUACACAAGUCUCCUGGAACGGAGCGUCAUAGAGGGUGAGAAUCCCGUCUUUGGUACGGACCCCCAGGGCUUCUGUGAUGCGCUCUCGAAGAGUCGAGUUGUUUGGGAAUGCAGCUCAAAAUGGGUGGUGAACUCCAUCUAAAGCUAAAUAUUGGCGAGAGACCGAUAGCGAACAAGUACCGUGAGGGAAAGAUGAAAAGCACUUUGGAAAGAGAGUGAAACAGUACGUGAAAUUGUUGAAAGGGAAACGCUUAAAGUCAGUCGCGUCCGCCGAGACUCAGCCUCGCUCCGGCUUGGUGUAUUUCUCGGUCGACGGGUCAGCGUCAAUUUCGCCCCUCGGAUAAUGGCAAUGGAAAGGUGGCACCUUUGCGGGUGUGUUAUAGUCCUUUGUCGCAUGCGAGGGGUGGGAUUGAGGAACUCAGCACGCACGCCCUCUGGGGUGUGUCGGGGCCAAGGCCCACGCCACGUGCUUAGGAUGCUGGCGUAAUGGCUUUAAACGACCCGUCUUGAAACACGGACCAAGGAGUCU